AUUGAACGCUGGCGGCAGGCCUAACACAUGCAAGUCGGACGGUAGCACAGGGGAGCCUGCUCCUCGGGUGACGAGUGGCGGACGGGUGAGUAAUGUCUGGGGAUCUGCCCGAUAGAGGGGGAUAACUCCUGGAAACGGUGGCUAAUACCGCAUAACGUCGCAAGACCAAAGAGGGGGACCUUCGGGCCUCUCACUAUCGGAAGAACCCAGAUGGGAUUAGCUAGUAGGCGGGGUAACGGCCCACCUAGGCGACGAUCCCUAGCUGGUCUGAGAGGAUGACCAGCCACACUGGAACUGAGACACGGUCCAGACUCCUACGGGAGGCAGCAGUGGGGAAUAUUGCACAAUGGGCGCAAGCCUGAUGCAGCCAUGCCGCGUGUAUGAAGAAGGCCUUCGGGUUGUAAAGUACUUUCAGCGGGGAGGAAGGCGAUGUGGUUAAUAACCGCAUCGAUUGACGUUACCCGCAGAAGAAGCUCCGGCUAACUCCGUGCCAGCCGCCGCAGUAA
Molecule: ribosomal RNA, 506 nt
Filed under: uncultured bacterium
Lineage: Bacteria
Description: partial 16S ribosomal RNA
Rfam family: Bacterial small subunit ribosomal RNA
Source: RNAcentral